AGUGAGCGCUGGCGGUAGGCCUAACACAUGCAAGUCGAACGGCAGCACAGUAAGAGCUUGCUCUUACGGGUGGCGAGUGGCGGACGGGUGAGGAAUACAUCGGAAUCUACUUUUUCGUGGGGGAUAACGUAGGGAAACUUACGCUAAUACCGCAUACGACCUACGGGUGAAAGCAGGGGAUCUUCGGACCUUGCGCGAUUGAAUGAACCGAUGUCGGAUUAGCUAGUUGGCGGGGUAAAGGCCCACCAAGGCGACGAUCCGUAGCUGGUCUGAGAGGAUGAUCAGCCACACUGGAACUGAGACACGGUCCAGACUCCUACGGGAGGCAGCAGUGGGGAAUAUUGGACAAUGGGCGCAAGCCUGAUCCAGCCAUACCGCGUGGGUGAAGAAGGCCUUCGGGUUGUAAAGCCCUUUUGUUGGGAAAGAAAAGCAGCAGGUUAAUACCCCGCUGUUCUGACGGUACCCAAAGAAUAAGCACCGGCUAACUUCGUG
RNAcentral lists this ribosomal RNA (492 nucleotides) under uncultured bacterium. RNAcentral describes it as "partial 16S ribosomal RNA". It matches the Rfam family "Bacterial small subunit ribosomal RNA", at positions 29 to 507 of the family's 1533-position model. The record is from RNAcentral.